RNAcentral lists this ribosomal RNA (468 nucleotides) under uncultured bacterium. RNAcentral's name for it is "partial 16S ribosomal RNA". It matches the Rfam family "Bacterial small subunit ribosomal RNA", at positions 28 to 507 of the family's 1533-position model. The record is from RNAcentral.
GACGAACGCUGGCGGCGGGCCUAACACAUGCAAGUCGAACGGAAAGACCCUGCUGUUGUGUUGUGCCCGAGGGGCGAACGGGUGAGUAACACGCGAGUAACCUGCCCUAGACUUUGGGAUAACUUCAGUAAACUGGAGCUAAUACCGGAUAAGAGCCCCCGCUUCAUGGUGGGAGUUAGAAAGUUGCGGCGGUUGGGGAUGGACUCGCGGCUUAUUUGCUUGUUGGUGAGGUAGCGGCUUAACAAGGCUUUGGGGGGUAGCCGCCCUGAGAGGGUGACCGGGAACAUGGGGAGUGAGCUACGGCAGAGACUCGUAAGGAAGGCAGCACUGGGGAAGAUUGAACAAUGGGCGGAUGCCUGGUGCAGCAACGCCGAGUGCGGGAUGACGGCCUUCGGUUAGUAAACCGCUUUCGCCUGUGAGGAAGGGAGCGUGACGGUAAUGGGUAAAGAAGCACCGGCUAACUACGUG